RNAcentral lists this ribosomal RNA (460 nucleotides) under uncultured bacterium. RNAcentral describes it as "partial 16S ribosomal RNA". It matches the Rfam family "Bacterial small subunit ribosomal RNA", at positions 338 to 795 of the family's 1533-position model. The record is from RNAcentral.
CCUACGGGUGGCAGCAGUGAGGAAUAUUGGUCAAUGGACGCAAGUCUGAACCAGCCAUGCCGCGUGCAGGAAGACGGCUCUAUGAGUUGUAAACUGCUUUUGUACGAGGGUAAACGCCGAUACGCGUAUCUGUCUGACAGUAUCGUACGAAUAAGGAUCGGCUAACUCCGUGCCAGCAGCCGCGGUAAUACGGAGGAUUCAAGCGUUAUCCGGAUUUAUUGGGUUUAAAGGGUGCGUAGGCGGCGCUUCAGGUCAGCGGUGAAAUACCGGGGCUCAACCCCGGGGCUGCCGUUGAAACCGGAGCGCUAGAAUGCAGAUGCCGUCGGAGGAAUGUGUGGUGUAGCGGUGAAAUGCAUAGAUAUCACACAGAACACCGAUUGCGAAGGCAUCUGACGAAGCGGAGAUUGACGCUGAUGCACGAAAGCGUGGGUAUCGAACAGGAUUAGAUACCCCUGUAGUC